UACUGGGCUUAAAGCGUUCGUAGCUGGUUUGUUAAGUCUCUGGGGAAAUCUUCCGGCUUAACCGGAAGGCGUCUCAGGGAUACUGGCAGACUAGGGACCGGAAGAGGUGAGAGGUACUCCAGGGGUAGGAGUGAAAUCCUGUAAUCCUUGGGGGACCACCUGUGGCGAAGGCGUCUCACCAGAACGGCUCCGACAGUGAGGGACGAAAGCUGGGGGAGCAAACCGGAUUAGAUACCCGGGUAGUCCCAGCCGUAAACGAUGUGCAUUAGGUGUAUCGGUGACCACGAGUCACCGAGGUGCCGAAGAGAAAUCGUGAAAUGCACCGCCUGGGAAGUACGGUCGCAAGGCUGAAACUUAAAGGAAUUGGCGGGGGAGCACCACAACAGGUGGAGCCUGCGGUUUAAUCGGACUCAACGCCGGGAAACUCACCAGAUAAGACAGCUGAAUGAUAGUCGGGCUGAAGACUCUACUUGACUAGCUGAGAGGAGGUGCAUGGCCGUCGUCAGUUCUC
RNAcentral lists this ribosomal RNA (511 nucleotides) under uncultured Methanomicrobiaceae archaeon. RNAcentral's name for it is "bacterial SSU rRNA". It matches the Rfam family "Archaeal small subunit ribosomal RNA", at positions 502 to 1012 of the family's 1478-position model. Lineage: Archaea; Methanobacteriati; Methanobacteriota; Methanomicrobia; Methanomicrobiales; Methanomicrobiaceae. The record is from RNAcentral.